RNAcentral lists this small nucleolar RNA (120 nucleotides) under Echinops telfairi (small Madagascar hedgehog). RNAcentral's name for it is "Small nucleolar RNA SNORA61 (ENSETEG00000024904.1)". Lineage: Eukaryota; Metazoa; Chordata; Mammalia; Afrosoricida; Tenrecidae. The record is from RNAcentral.
ACCCUCCAGAUUCCUCACCAAUCAGAUUAAACCUUAGUCUGAGUGGCUAUAAAAAUAGGAAAGGUAAAACUGAGCUGACCUUGAAUUCUUUAGUGAUAUGAAAGUUUGUUCCAAAGAAAU